Molecule: small RNA, 699 nt
Filed under: Pan troglodytes (chimpanzee)
Lineage: Eukaryota; Metazoa; Chordata; Mammalia; Primates; Hominidae
Description: processed transcript
Source: RNAcentral
GCUUCAGCUAGGGCGGGGGAGCCCAGCAGAAGGACCGAGCAGCCUGGCAACCCACUUUGCCAUCCUCUCCCUGGAAAUCUCGGGGUCGGCGGGCCGGCCGCUUCGCGUGGGCGAAAUCAGAGACACGUGGUUUCCAAGGCCCCUUCGGCUCUCCCUGUCCAGCCGCCUGCAGCUGACCCUGUACCAGUACAAGACGUGUCCCUUCUGCAGCAAGGUCCGAGCCUUCCUCGACUUCCACGCCCUGCCCUACCAGGUGGUGGAGGUGAACCCUGUGCGCAGGGCUGAGAUCAAGUUCUCCUCCUACAGAAAGGUGCCCAUCCUGGUGGCCCAGGAAGGAGAAAGCUCGCAACAACUAAAUGACUCCUCUGUCAUCAUCAGCGCCCUCAAGACCUACCUGGUGUCGGGGCAGCCCCUGGAAGAGAUCAUCACCUACUACCCAGCCAUGAAGGCUGUGAACGAGCAGGGCAAGGAGGUGACCGAGUUCGGCAAUAAGUACUGGCUCAUGCUCAACGAGAAGGAGGCCCAGCAAGUGUAUGGCGGGAAGGAGGCCAGGACGGAGGAGAUGAAGUGGCGGCAGUGGGCGGACGACUGGCUGGUGCACCUGAUCUCCCCCAAUGUGUACCGCACGCCCACCGAGGCUCUGGCGUCCUUUGACUACAUUGUCCGCGAGGGCAAGUUCGGAGCUGUGGAGGGUGCCGU